GGGGUAAUGCUCAGAGCCUCAGAAUAGAUUUUGAAGUUCUGAACAAAGGAAAUCAAAUCGCAAGGUUGAAGAAAUUUGAAGAUCUCUAUCCAUCCCUUUUCUGUUCUCGAUUUGCUUCUCCCGCUUUUUUUUUUUUUUUUUUUUUUUUUUU
This 151-nucleotide non-coding RNA is filed under the name Compsopogon caeruleus. Lineage: Eukaryota; Rhodophyta; Compsopogonophyceae; Compsopogonales; Compsopogonaceae. The record is from RNAcentral.